RNAcentral lists this long non-coding RNA (1040 nucleotides) under Rattus norvegicus (Norway rat). RNAcentral describes it as "long non-coding RNA NONRATT022611". Lineage: Eukaryota; Metazoa; Chordata; Mammalia; Rodentia; Muridae. The record is from RNAcentral.
AUGACCCCUGAUGGAUGCCUGUUUGCUAUGGUAGGGAGGAAGGGUGGCAUAGGCUUGAGACAGAGUAGGUGGGAGUGGAGAGGAGUAGGCAGGAUACAGAGAGUACCUCUGGAGGGAGCACACUAGGAGGGGAUCCCCUGGGGCACAGGGGAAAUGGGCAGGUGGACUGUGGAUUAUGUUUGUGUAGUGGGGGGUGUCCAAAAAGGCUUCUUAAAUGAAGUCAAAAUUGAGUAAGGCCUUGAUGGGCAGGGUAUUGUCUCCUUGGGGUGAAUGGAGUCAUCAGCAGGCUUGGAAUCCAAGUAAGGAUGACUAACAGAAAGCCUGAGGGAGGGGGCUGGAAACCACGAUUCGACUUUGGGGACUCCCAGCAGUGCCUUUGGCCUUGACCUGCCAGCAGCAGCUCUUUCUUCCUCAGACCCUACCCCAUUUCCAACUCUACUCCCUGGGCACUUGACUGAGCUCAGUGACUGCAGGAAUACUGGGGUAGACUGGGAUACUGCUCCCUUUGACAGAACUGGGGGAAUUGAAACAUCCCCACACGAUCUCCCUUCAUCCUCCCUCCAGGGAAAACUGGCUCAACGUCCAAGGCUCUUGGGCACCAGUAGUGCCCUGUUUUGGGUUAUCAGAACCUCAUCCCCAUCUCCAGCUACAUCAGUCAUUAAGGUCAAACUCCUCCCCUCCCCAGCUGUUUGCAGAGGGGUCCCUGGCUGUGCUGGCAGGACUUCGGUGUCCAGGGUAGACCUCCCCUCUGAUGAGGAGGUCCUAGAAUCCCGAGGGGUCCCAGGCCUCAGCCCUGCACAGGCACCAGCAUGAUACAGGGUGCUGGGCCACUGGGGACCCUCCACAGAUUUAUUUUUAUAUACAGAGCUUGUUCAUUGGACAGAGGGAGGUCACCUGCAACCCAUAUUGCUGUCACCCACCCAGGGAGGGAGGGAGGGACUGGUUGUGGGUAGAGGCUCCUUUGCGAAACUCUGGAGAUGUGUUUAUAUUUCUGGGUUCUAUAUGCAGUACCAAGUAAUAAACACUUGUGUGUUAUGGUC